UUGUUUGCAGAAGUAGCAUCAUCAAGAUUCACAUGUGAAUGUGGCUAAGUGGAAAUAUAUAUAUAUAUAUAUAUUUCUGCUAAUCUAUUUUAUUUGAAGUGAGAAUCUUGAUGAUGCUGCAUCAGCCAUAAA
Non-coding RNA from Cicer arietinum (chickpea), 132 nucleotides. NCBI's taxonomy places the organism in Eukaryota, Viridiplantae, Streptophyta, Magnoliopsida, Fabales, Fabaceae. The record is from Rfam.